This is a long non-coding RNA of Felis catus (domestic cat), 211 nucleotides long. RefSeq lists it as uncharacterized. The transcript is spliced from 2 exons. NCBI's taxonomy places the organism in Eukaryota, Metazoa, Chordata, Mammalia, Carnivora, Felidae. The record is from RefSeq and is a predicted model, not a curated record.
CUGGAGCUGAAGUCAGACGCUCCACCAGUCGACUGAGCCACCCAGGUGCCCAAACCACACGUGCACAAAGAAGAGAUGACAUGAGCACACGGUGAGAAGGUGGCCAUCUCAAUCCGAGGAAGGCGCUCUCCCUAAACACUGACUCUGCUGGCAGCUUGAUCUUGUUCUCCCAGCCUUCAGAACUAGGAGAAAAUACAUUUCUGUUGUUUGA